UCCUCUUAUAGUCCCUACUCAUGUCCUCAAUGAUAGCAUAAGGGCAAAGAUUGAGAGGUAUGUGGUGUGCAGAAUUAUACACGAAGGAAUUUCAAAUUAUCAGCCCACAUUCAAACUUCCACCAGGAUGGACAACUAGGCCUGUUGAUGAAGGAGAACCAAAUUGAUAUGGCAGAAAUCUUUGUGCUUAGUAUAGGGACCCAGUUUUGCCGUGGUCUUUGACAUUGGAAGUUGCAGAUAGAAGAAAUAGCAAAUCGACUUCCUCCUUUUGAUGUUUUCCUCUUCAAGUUCUUUAUUUAUUUGGGAGAUCUCUUCCAGUUCUUUUGUUUGGCCGACUACUGUUAUACUUGCCCCAUAAUUUUCUUUUUUGUUAAAAUGAAUAAAUUUUUAUUGGCUAGUUUCUUCUAACUUUCCCAAGAGGGACUCAGAGAGUUCAGAAUUGUAAAUUCAGAUUUUUCAACAAAGAGAUCAUUGAGAUA
Prunus avium (sweet cherry) is the source of this 478-nucleotide non-coding RNA. NCBI's taxonomy places the organism in Eukaryota, Viridiplantae, Streptophyta, Magnoliopsida, Rosales, Rosaceae. The record is from RefSeq and is a predicted model, not a curated record.